This is a long non-coding RNA of Numida meleagris (helmeted guineafowl), 1569 nucleotides long. Lineage: Eukaryota; Metazoa; Chordata; Aves; Galliformes; Numididae. The record is from Ensembl.
GCAACGUUGAGCUACAGAACAAGUGAAUAAUUUCUAAAGAAAAAUGUAACACCUUGCCUUGAGGAAGCCUGAUGUUGUUGUCACAUCUUCCCCAUGCUUGCAGUGUUAUGCCAUUUCCAAGAAAAGGUGAAACGCAGUCACCCCUCCAGAUUCCUGCACGUUGCAAAUUGCGUCCAGAUGAAGCUGGCUCUCAUUUAGACACCCUUGCAGGAGGAACAUCAGGGAGCUGUGCUUCGGCUGAUUAAACUUGCAGCCGUUCACCUUUGCCGGAGCUUAAUUAGCUGAGAUACUGCCUUCUCUAUAUUUAUCUCAUGUGUCUUCCUGAGACGUGUGCAGAGAGGAAGUCUGGAUUGCAGGCUGUGCAUGCACAGGUGUGCAGGAGCUUUUCAGCUCAUCUCCAUGCAAGGACAGCUGCUGUGCAGGGGUCGGUGGGUGGGUUUCUCUGCUUGGAGUCUGGAUGUCCAAAAUACCUGCAUGGUUUUGGAGAGCAGGAAGAAGAUGUGGGUCUGAGGGAACUGGUAACGUGGGAGAUGGAUGCAAACGAACCAGGUGUCCUCCCUGGUUAUUGACAGACUUCCUUAUCUGUUGCUCGCACAGAUGUGCUGGGGUCUGUGAAGGGGAGAUUGGUCUGUGGAAGGAAGAUGCCCACUGUGGCCUCUUUUUCUGAGUGAUGAGCUCUUGGACUGCAGCUCCCAUACCCAGUGUCUGUACGAAGUGCAUGGCCACAGCUCAUCUGGCAGCUAUAAAAAGAUGCUGAAAUAUAUUCAUAUAAAUAUUUCAUCCUAUCCCUCCCAAGCACAAGAAGGACAAAACGUUGUUGAACUCCAGGAAUCACCAGAAAUCAGCAUUUCAGGGUUGCUUGUAAGAGGCAAAGAAGCUGCAGGAAAGCUGCCCUUAUUUCCCACACAAGCAAGGCAGGACCCCAGUGCCAAUGAGUGUGAGCCAGUUGCUACUCAACUAUAAUUGAGAUUUAAGAGCUGUCAUUUCCUAUUGGUUAACCAAGGAAAUAUUUAUGGCCAAAGCCUGGUGCCAAGCACAAUAUUUAUGACCAAGUUUUUAGCAUUUUUUAGUGCUGAUUUUUGCACAGAGGACACAGAUCACAUCCACACUGAUGUGGGCAUGAAACUGAUCUGUAUCUGGUGAUGAUUAUGGGGAGAAAAGGGAAAUAAUUUGUCAGCCAUUCAACUCCAGAUUUCUUUAGUGAAUAAGUUGGGUAGCUUUUGCCCUUUGGUGAGGAAGGACAAGAGCUUAAUUUAGAUCUACAAAGCUGAGCAGCGAAACCAAAGCUAUCCUUGGAUAACAAACUUGUCUGGAGAAACAUGCUUUUGUUCUCCAAUUUAAAAAUCCAUCUUCUUAGAUCUCAAGAGAAGCUAAAGAGCCCUCUUGCUCUGUGUAGGCUCUUUACAUUGAAAUGUUGCAUUUACAAAUAAGAUGUUGAGGUUCAUCUGGUUUGUAACAAGAGUUCUCUAAUAGCUGUAGCACUGCAAACUAGUAUGAGGCCAUGAUCUGAUGCUUUUCUGCCUUUCCUCUCUCAGUGGUUGGGCCACUUUACUUGUUGAUUUGUUUUAG